CCUUGAAAUACCACCCUUUAAUGUUUGAUGUUCUAACGUUGGCCCCUGAUCGGGGUUGCGGACAGUGUCUGGUGGGUAGUUUGACUGGGGCGGUCUCCUCCUAAAGAGUAACGGAGGAGCACGAAGGUUGGCUAAUCCUGGUCGGACAUCAGGAGGUUAGUGCAAUGGCAUAAGCCAGCUUGACUGCGAGCGUGACGGCGCGAGCAGGUGCGAAAGCAGGUCAUAGUGAUCCGGUGGUUCUGAAUGGAAGGGCCAUCGCUCAACGGAUAAAAGGUACUCCGGGGAUAACAGGCUGAUACCGCCCAAGAGUUCAUAUCGACGGCGGUGUUUGGCACCUCGAUGUCGGCUCAUCACAUCCUGGGGCUGAAGUAGGUCCCAAGGGUAUGGCUGUUCGCCAUUUAAAGUGGUACGCGAGCUGGGUUUAGAACGUCGUGAGACAGUUCGGUCCCUAUCUGCCGUGGGCGCUGGAGAACUGAGGGGGGCUGCUCCUAGUACGAGAGGACCGGAGUGGACGCAUCACUGGUGUUCGGGUUGUCAUGCCAAUGGCACUGCCCGGUAGCUAAAUGCGGAAGAGAUAAGUGCUGAAAGCAUCUAAGCACGAAACUUGCCCCGAGAUGAGUUCUCCCUGAGACUUUAAGUCUCCUGAA
Molecule: ribosomal RNA, 647 nt
Filed under: Escherichia coli
Lineage: Bacteria; Pseudomonadati; Pseudomonadota; Gammaproteobacteria; Enterobacterales; Enterobacteriaceae
Description: partial 23S ribosomal RNA
Rfam family: Bacterial large subunit ribosomal RNA
Source: RNAcentral